Molecule: ribosomal RNA, 449 nt
Filed under: uncultured bacterium
Lineage: Bacteria
Description: partial 16S ribosomal RNA
Rfam family: Bacterial small subunit ribosomal RNA
Source: RNAcentral
AACGAACGCUGGCGGCAUGCCUAACACAUGCAAGUCGAACGAGAUCUUCGGGUCUAGUGGCGCACGGGUGCGUAACGCGUGGGAAUCUGCCCUUUGGUUCGGAAUAACAGUUGGAAACGACUGCUAAUACCGGAUGAUGACGACAGUCCAAAGAUUUAUCGCCAGAGGAUGAGCCGGCGUAGGAUUAGCUAGUUGGUGUGGUAAAGGCGCACCAAGGCGACGAUCCUUAGCUGGUCUGAGAGGAUGAUCAGCCACACUGGGACUGAGACACGGCCCAGACUCCUACGGGAGGCAGCAGUGGGGAAUAUUGGACAAUGGGCGAAAGCCUGAUCCAGCAAUGCCGCGUGAGUGAUGAAGGCCUUAGGGUUGUAAAGCUCUUUUACCCGGGAUGAUAAUGACAGUACCGGGAGAAUAAGCUCCGGCUAACUCCGUGCCAGCCGCCGCGGUAA